CUACCUUAACCUAUUGGCAAGUUACACACUUUGCCACAAACUUUUCUAUAUCCUUAUUCAUGUCACUCCACUAAUAGACUUCCCGCAAGUCGCGGUACAUCUUAGUGGCACCGGGAUAAUUAAAAUAUCGUGCACCAUGCACCUCAGACAUAAUUCUCUACCUUAAAUCACCAACACAUGGAACACACAAUCUAUUCUGACAUCUCAACACACCAU
RNAcentral lists this long non-coding RNA (216 nucleotides) under Capsicum annuum. Its description in RNAcentral is "long non-coding RNA (CANN_LNC019061)". The record is from RNAcentral. Lineage: Eukaryota; Viridiplantae; Streptophyta; Magnoliopsida; Solanales; Solanaceae.